Molecule: ribosomal RNA, 497 nt
Filed under: uncultured bacterium
Lineage: Bacteria
Description: partial 16S ribosomal RNA
Rfam family: Bacterial small subunit ribosomal RNA
Source: RNAcentral
GAUGAACGCUGGCGGCGUGCCUAAUACAUGCAAGUCGAGCGAACAGACGAGGAGCUUGCUCCUCUGACGUUAGCGGCGGACGGGUGAGUAACACGUGGAUAACCUACCUAUAAGACUGGGAUAACUUCGGGAAACCGGAGCUAAUACCGGAUAAUAUAUUGAACCGCAUGGUUCAAUAGUGAAAGACGGUUUUGCUGUCACUUAUAGAUGGAUCCGCGCCGCAUUAGCUAGUUGGUAAGGUAACGGCUUACCAAGGCAACGAUGCGUAGCCGACCUGAGAGGGUGAUCGGCCCCACUGGAACUGAGACACGGUCCAGACUCCUACGGGAGGCAGCAGUAGGGAACCUUCCGCAAUGGGCGAAAGCCUGACGGAGCAACGCCGAGUGAGUGAUGAAGGUCUUCGGAUCGUAAAACUCUGUUAUUAGGGAAGAACAAAUGUGUAAGUAACUAUGCACGUCUUGACGGUACCUAAUCAGAAAGCCACGGAUAACUACGUG